Oncorhynchus tshawytscha (Chinook salmon) is the source of this 1052-nucleotide long non-coding RNA. The record is from Ensembl. NCBI's taxonomy places the organism in Eukaryota, Metazoa, Chordata, Actinopteri, Salmoniformes, Salmonidae.
GGAGAGGAAAGAGAAUGGAGAGAGGGAGGCAGAGAGAGAAAGAGAGGGAGAGGAGAGAGAAUAGAGAGGCAGAGACAGAAAUAGAGGGAGAGGAGAGUCAAUGGAGAUACGGAGGCAGAGAGAGGAAGAGAGGGAGGCAGAGAGAGAAUGGAGAGAGGGAGGCAGAGAGAGAAAGAGAGUUAGGCAAAGAGAGAAAGAGAGGGAGAGGAGAGAGAAUGGAGAGAGGGAGAGGAGAGAGAAUGGAGAGAAGGAGAGGAGACAGAAUGGAGAGAGGGAGGCAGAGAGAGAAUGGAGAGAGGGAGAGGAGAGAGAAUGGAGAGAGGGAGAGGAGAGAGAAUGGAGAGAGGGAGAGGAGAGAGGAUGGAGAGAGGGAGAGGAGAGAGAAUGGAGAGAGGGAGGCAGAGAGAGAUUGGAGAGAGGGAGAGGAGAGAGAAUAGAGAGAGGGAGAGGAUAGAGAAUGGAGAGGGAUAGGAGAGAGAAUGGUAAGAGUGAGAGGAGAGAGAGGGAGAGGAUAAUCGAGAGAGGGAGAGGAGAGAGAACGAGAGGGAGAGGAGAGAGAAAUAGAGGGAGAGGAGAGAGAGGGAGAGGAUAAUCGAGAGAGGGAGGCAGAGAGAGAACGAGAGGGAGAGGAGAGAGAAAUAGAGGGAGAGGAGAGAGAAUGGAGAGAUGGAGGCAGAGAGAGAAAGAGAGGGAGGCAGAGAGAGAAAGAGAGGGAGAGGAUAGAGAAUGGAGAGAGGGAGAGGAGAGAGAAUGGAGAGAGGGAGGCAGAGAGAGAAAGAGAGGGAGAGGAGAGAGAGAGAGGAGGUGAUGCAGACCUCUCACAUCCUCAUCCUAGUGCAUGAUCUGCCAAUGUGUCAGGAUUAAUGUGUGAGCAGAGUUUGUGUGUGUGUGUGCAUGUGUGUGCGUGUGUGUGUGUGUGUGUGUGUGUGUGUGUGUGUGUGUGUGUGUGUGAGCAAGCAAGGCAUUAGCUCAUCUCUGAGUGCUGAGGGACUAGCAGUGUUCUGUAAUCCUACCAGUCACACACACACACACACACACACACACACACACAC